This 327-nucleotide ribosomal RNA is filed under the name uncultured eukaryote. Its description in RNAcentral is "partial 18S ribosomal RNA". It matches the Rfam family "Eukaryotic small subunit ribosomal RNA", at positions 1470 to 1796 of the family's 1831-position model. The record is from RNAcentral.
CCCUUAGAUGUUCUGGGCCGCACGCGCGCUACACUGAUUCAUGCAACAAGUUUUGUCCUUGGCUGAUAGGCCUAGGUAAUCUUUGAACGUGAAUCGUGAUGGGGAUAGAUGAUUGCAAUUAUUCAUCUUCAACGAGGAAUUCCUAGUAAACGCAAGUCAUCAGCUUGCAUUGAUUACGUCCCUGCCCUUUGUACACACCGCCCGUCGCACCUACCGAUUGAAUGGUCCGGUGAAAUCUUCGGAUCUGAGAGAUGUCUGAUUAAUUUCGGACGCCUUUUGGAAAAGUUGCUUAAACCUUACCAUUUAGAGGAAGGUGAAGUCGUAACA